RNAcentral lists this ribosomal RNA (254 nucleotides) under uncultured bacterium. Its description in RNAcentral is "partial 16S ribosomal RNA". It matches the Rfam family "Bacterial small subunit ribosomal RNA", at positions 524 to 776 of the family's 1533-position model. The record is from RNAcentral.
UACGUAGGGUGCGAGCGUUGCCCGGAUUUAUUGGGCGUAAAGGGCGCGUAGGCGGCUCGGCACGUCCGUUGUGAAAUCGCCCGGCUCAACUGGGCGGGGUCAGCGGAUACGGUCGAGCUUGAGCAAGCUAGGGGGCAAUGGAAUUCCCGGUGUAGUGGUGGAAUGCGUAGAUAUCGGGAGGAACACCAGUGGCGAAAGCGGUUGCCUGGGGCUUUGCUGACGCUGAUGCGCGGAAAGCGUGGGGAGCGAUCCGG